Molecule: transfer RNA, 64 nt
Filed under: Mantispa japonica
Lineage: Eukaryota; Metazoa; Arthropoda; Insecta; Neuroptera; Mantispidae
Description: tRNA-Ile
Source: RNAcentral
AAUGAAGUGCCUGAUUAAAGGAUUACUUUGAUAGAGUAAAUCAUGUAUAUUAAUACCUUCAUUA